CCAGACUCCUACGGGAGGCAGCAGUGGGGAAUAUUGCACAAUGGGGGAAACCCUGAUGCAGCGACGCCGCGUGAGUGGAGAAGUAAUUCGUUAUGUAAAGCCCUAUCAGCAGGGAAGAAGAAAUGACGGUACCUGAGUAAGAAGCACCGGCUAAAUACGUGCCAGCAGCCGCGGUAAUACGUAUGGUGCAAGCGUUAUCCGGAUUUACUGGGUGUAAAGGGAGCGUAGACGGCAGCGCAAGUCUGGAGUGAAAUGCCGGGGCCCAACCCCGGAACUGCUUUGGAAACUGUGCAGCUCGAGUGCAGGAGAGGUAAGCGGAAUUCCUAGUGUAGCGGUGAAAUGCGUAGAUAUUAGGAAGAACACCAGUGGCGAAGGCGGCUUGCUGGACAGUAACUGACGUUGAGGCUCGAAAGCGUGGGGAGCAAACAGGAUUAGAUACCCGCGUAAG
This 448-nucleotide ribosomal RNA is filed under the name uncultured bacterium. Its description in RNAcentral is "bacterial SSU rRNA". It matches the Rfam family "Bacterial small subunit ribosomal RNA", at positions 331 to 793 of the family's 1533-position model. The record is from RNAcentral.